CAAUAGCGUAUAUUUAAGUUGUUGCAGUUAAAAAGCUCGUAGUUGGAUUUCGAGUGGGACGCAGCGGUCUCGCAUUGCGUUUGUACUGCUGCAGCCCUCCUUCUUGCCGGGGGCGGCCUCUCGGACUUCACUGUCUGGGGGUCAGAAUCGGCGAUGUUACUUUGAGUAAAUUAGAGUGUUCAAAGCAAGCUUACGCUCUGAAUAUAAUAGCAUGGGAUAACACGACAGGACUCUGGCCUAUCGUGUUGGUCUAUAGGACCAGAGUAAUGAUUAAGAGGGACAGUCGGGGGCAUUCGUAUUCCGUUGUCAGAGGUGAAAUUCUUGGAUUUACGGAAGACGAACAUCUGCGAAAGCAUUUGCCAAGGAUGUUUUCAUUGA
This 378-nucleotide ribosomal RNA is filed under the name uncultured eukaryote. RNAcentral's name for it is "partial 18S ribosomal RNA". It matches the Rfam family "Eukaryotic small subunit ribosomal RNA", at positions 592 to 976 of the family's 1831-position model. The record is from RNAcentral.